AGUUAGACCAACGGUAGUGAGUUAUCUCAGUUGAUUGUUCACCGCCAGUUACAGAUUGAACUUCUCAUUCUACUCAUUCCCCUAUUCUCACUACUGCCCUUGGCUAGUCUUAA
Molecule: unclassified non-coding RNA, 113 nt
Organism: Colobus angolensis palliatus
Lineage: Eukaryota; Metazoa; Chordata; Mammalia; Primates; Cercopithecidae
Rfam family: Y RNA
About the family: Y RNAs are components of the Ro ribonucleoprotein particle (Ro RNP), in association with Ro60 and La proteins. The Y RNAs and Ro60 and La proteins are well conserved, but the function of the Ro RNP is not known.
Source: Ensembl